This is a long non-coding RNA of Schistocerca nitens (vagrant locust), 519 nucleotides long. RefSeq lists it as uncharacterized. The record is from RefSeq and is a predicted model, not a curated record. NCBI's taxonomy places the organism in Eukaryota, Metazoa, Arthropoda, Insecta, Orthoptera, Acrididae. The transcript has 3 exons.
UGCUGAACGCGCAACAGCUGAUUCCCGUGAUCAUCGCCAUUUUGAAACGUGUUGUAGAACAGCAAAUUAAUUGCAAUUCGACGCGGAACAUUUAUGCAGCACAGUAGCAAAAAUAUAAAACCUUCAGAGAAGUUUCACUGUUCACAUUUUGGUGUCUUUGAUAUGGGACUGAAAAAGAAGUUUGGCAUCAUUGGUACAAUAUUCGUUGUACUUACCGUCUUCAUUUUUAAGGUGAUGUAAUUUUGAUGCAGAAUUGAACCUGAAAGCUUGAUAAAAUGUGAUCGCCACGGGAGAAAGCUCAAUCUGUGGGUUGGUUCAUACUGAUGACAUCCAAUACCCAGUAUGCAAGCCAGCUUGGCCACAAUUACUUCAUUGUGGGAACUCACCGUAUGCCAAUAAUGGUAUUUCCACAUUCAAAGAACCCAAAAUGUUUAACUUAUGGAAUAAACAUUAAUGUAUGUCUUUGUUAUAUCAUGUAAUCACAGUUCAAACAUUAAAAUUGCUUUUUCUUGAGUUCCA